RNAcentral lists this ribosomal RNA (339 nucleotides) under Blastocystis sp. Its description in RNAcentral is "SSU rRNA". It matches the Rfam family "Eukaryotic small subunit ribosomal RNA", at positions 523 to 868 of the family's 1831-position model. Lineage: Eukaryota; Bigyra; Opalinata; Blastocystidae. The record is from RNAcentral.
ACGUACAAACCUUAUCGAUAAACAAUUGGAGGGCAAGUCUGGUGCCAGCAGCCGCGGUAAUUCCAGCUCCAAUAGCGUAUAUUAACGUUGUUGCAGUUAAAAAGCUCGUAGUUGAAAUGAAGGGUAGUUGUGUAAUGAAUACAUUCGUGUAUUUUGUUAUUCUACUACCCUCCUUCUAAAUUCGAUAUAUGAGUAUUAAUUUACUUGUAUAUGGUUUUAGACGUUUACUGUGAGAAAAUUAGAGUGUUCAAAGCAGGCAUUUGCUUGAAUAUAUUAGCAUGGAAUAAUCAUGUAUGAUUUUCAUGAUGUAUUUGAUUGGUUUGGUUCAUGAGAAUAAGA